GACGAACGCUGGCGGCGUGCUUAACACAUGCAAGUCGAACGGAAAGGCCCUGCUUUUGUGGGGUGCUCGAGUGGCGAACGGGUGAGUAACACGUGAGUAACCUGCCCUUGACUUUGGGAUAACUUCAGGAAACUGGGGCUAAUACCGGAUAGGAGCUCCUGCUGCAUGGUGGGGGUUGGAAAGUUUCGGCGGUUGGGGAUGGACUCGCGGCUUAUCAGCUUGUUGGUGGGGUAGUGGCUUACCAAGGCUUUGACGGGUAGCCGGCCUGAGAGGGUGACCGGCCACAUUGGGACUGAGAUACGGCCCAGACUCCUACGGGAGGCAGCGGUGGGGAAGAGUACACAAUGGGCGGAAGCCUGAUGCAGCAACGCCGCGUGCGGGAUGACGGCCUUCGGGUUGUAAACCGCUUUCGCCUGUGACGAAGAGUGAGUGACGGUAAUGGGUAAAGAAGCACCGGCUAACUACGUG
Molecule: ribosomal RNA, 468 nt
Filed under: uncultured bacterium
Lineage: Bacteria
Description: partial 16S ribosomal RNA
Rfam family: Bacterial small subunit ribosomal RNA
Source: RNAcentral